UACGUAGGGGGCAAGCGUUGUCCGGAUUUAUUGGGCGUAAAGAGCGUGUAGGCGGCCAUGUAGGUCCGUUGUGAAAACUCGAGGCUCAACCUCGAGACGCCGAUGGAAACCAUGUGGCUAGAGUCCGGAAGAGGAGAGUGGAAUUCCUGGUGUAGCGGUGAAAUGCGCAGAUAUUAGGAAGAACACCAGUGGCGAAGGCGGCUCACUGGCCCGGUACUGACGCUGAGGCGCGAAAGCGUGGGGAGCAAACAGG
Molecule: ribosomal RNA, 253 nt
Filed under: uncultured bacterium
Lineage: Bacteria
Description: partial 16S ribosomal RNA
Rfam family: Bacterial small subunit ribosomal RNA
Source: RNAcentral